RNAcentral lists this transfer RNA (88 nucleotides) under Leuconostoc lactis. RNAcentral's name for it is "tRNA-Leu". It matches the Rfam family "tRNA". Rfam says of the family: Transfer RNA (tRNA) molecules are approximately 80 nucleotides in length. Their secondary structure includes four short double-helical elements and three loops (D, anti-codon, and T loops). RNAcentral also lists the same sequence under 1 other name. The record is from RNAcentral. Lineage: Bacteria; Bacillati; Bacillota; Bacilli; Lactobacillales; Lactobacillaceae.
UGCCGUUGUGGCGGAAUUGGCAGACGCGCUGGACUCAAAAUCCAGUGGUGGCAACACCGUGUGGGUUCGACUCCCACCGACGGCAUCC